RNAcentral lists this ribosomal RNA (223 nucleotides) under uncultured bacterium. RNAcentral describes it as "partial 16S ribosomal RNA". It matches the Rfam family "Bacterial small subunit ribosomal RNA", at positions 524 to 776 of the family's 1533-position model. The record is from RNAcentral.
UACGUAGAAGACUAGUGUUAUUCAUCUUUAAUAGGUUUAAAGGGUACCUAGACGGUAUAAUUAGUCUUUAACAGGAAACGGUUAUACUAGAGUUAUAUAUGAGGAGGUGAGUAUUUGUGGAGUAGAGUUGAAAUUCUUUGAUACCAUGAAGACUGGUAAAGGCGAAAGCAACCUUUUAUCUAAUAACUGACGUUGAGGGACGAAGGCUCAGGUCGCGAACAGG